UUAAGCGACUAAGCGUACACGGUGGAUGCCCUGGCAGUCAGAGGCGAUGAAGGACGUGCUAAUCUGCGAUAAGCGUCGGUGAGGUGAUAUGAACCGUUAUAACCGGCGAUUUCCGAAUGGGGAAACCCAGUGUGUUUCGACACACUAUCAUUAACUGAAUCCAUAGGUUAAUGAGGCGAACCGGGGGAACUGAAACAUCUAAGUACCCCGAGGAAAAGAAAUCAACCGAGAUUCCCCCAGUAGCGGCGAGCGAACGGGGAGGAGCCCAGAGCCUGAAUCAGUGUGUGUGUUAGUGGAAGCGUCUGGAAAGGCGCGCGAUACAGGGUGACAGCCCCGUACACAAAAAUGCACAUAUUGUGAGCUCGAUGAGUAGGGCGGGACACGUGGUAUCCUGUCUGAAUAUGGGGGGACCAUCCUCCAAGGCUAAAUACUCCUGACUGACCGAUAGUGAACCAGUACCGUGAGGGAAAGGCGAAAAGAACCCCGGCGAGGGGAGUGAAAAAGAACCUGAAACCGUGUACGUACAAGCAGUGGGAGCCUCUUAAUGGGGUGACUGCGUACCUUUUGUAUAAUGGGUCAGCGACUUAUAUUCUGUAGCAAGGUUAACCGAAUAGGGGAGCCGAAGGGAAACCGAGUCUUAACUGGGCGUUAAGUUGCAGGGUAUAGACCCGAAACCCGGUGAUCUAGCCAUGGGCAGGUUGAAGGUUGGGUAACACUAACUGGAGGACCGAACCGACUAAUGUUGAAAAAUUAGCGGAUGACUUGUGGCUGGGGGUGAAAGGCCAAUCAAACCGGGAGAUAGCUGGUUCUCCCCGAAAGCUAUUUAGGUAGCGCCUCGUGAAUUCAUCUCCGGGGGUAGAGCACUGUUUCGGCAAGGGGGUCAUCCCGACUUACCAACCCGAUGCAAACUGCGAAUACCGGAGAAUGUUAUCACGGGAGACACACGGCGGGUGCUAACGUCCGUCGUGAAGAGGGAAACAACCCAGACCGCCAGCUAAGGUCCCAAAGUCAUGGUUAAGUGGGAAACGAUGUGGGAAGGCCCAGACAGCCAGGAUGUUGGCUUAGAAGCAGCCAUCAUUUAAAGAAAGCGUAAUAGCUCACUGGUCGAGUCGGCCUGCGCGGAAGAUGUAACGGGGCUAAACCAUGCACCGAAGCUGCGGCAGCGACACUAUGUGUUGUUGGGUAGGGGAGCGUUCUGUAAGCCUGUGAAGGUGGCCUGUGAGGGUUGCUGGAGGUAUCAGAAGUGCGAAUGCUGACAUAAGUAACGAUAAAGCGGGUGAAAAGCCCGCUCGCCGGAAGACCAAGGGUUCCUGUCCAACGUUAAUCGGGGCAGGGUGAGUCGACCCCUAAGGCGAGGCCGAAAGGCGUAGUCGAUGGGAAACAGGUUAAUAUUCCUGUACUUGGUGUUACUGCGAAGGGGGGACGGAGAAGGCUAUGUUGGCCGGGCGACGGUUGUCCCGGUUUAAGCGUGUAGGCUGGUUUUCCAGGCAAAUCCGGAAAAUCAAGGCUGAGGCGUGAUGACGAGGCACUACGGUGCUGAAGCGACAAAUGCCCUGCUUCCAGGAAAAGCCUCUAAGCAUCAGGUAACAUCAAAUCGUACCCCAAACCGACACAGGUGGUCAGGUAGAGAAUACCAAGGCGCUUGAGAGAACUCGGGUGAAGGAACUAGGCAAAAUGGUGCCGUAACUUCGGGAGAAGGCACGCUGAUAUGUAGGUGAAGCGACUUGCUCGUGGAGCUGAAAUCAGUCGAAGAUACCAGCUGGCUGCAACUGUUUAUUAAAAACACAGCACUGUGCAAACACGAAAGUGGACGUAUACGGUGUGACGCCUGCCCGGUGCCGGAAGGUUAAUUGAUGGGGUUAGCGGUAACGCGAAGCUCUUGAUCGAAGCCCCGGUAAACGGCGGCCGUAACUAUAACGGUCCUAAGGUAGCGAAAUUCCUUGUCGGGUAAGUUCCGACCUGCACGAAUGGCGUAAUGAUGGCCAGGCUGUCUCCACCCGAGACUCAGUGAAAUUGAACUCGCUGUGAAGAUGCAGUGUACCCGCGGCAAGACGGAAAGACCCCGUGAACCUUUACUAUAGCUUGACACUGAACAUUGAGCCUUGAUGUGUAGGAUAGGUGGGAGGCUUUGAAGUGUGGACGCCAGUCUGCAUGGAGCCGACCUUGAAAUACCACCCUUUAAUGUUUGAUGUUCUAACGUGGGCCCCUUACCGGGGUUGCGGACAGUGUCUGGUGGGUAGUUUGACUGGGGCGGUCUCCUCCUAAAGAGUAACGGAGGAGCACGAAGGUUGGCUAAUCCUGGUCGGACAUCAGGAGGUUAGUGCAAUGGCAUAAGCCAGCUUGACUGCGAGCGUGACGGCGCGAGCAGGUGCGAAAGCAGGUCAUAGUGAUCCGGUGGUUCUGAAUGGAAGGGCCAUCGCUCAACGGAUAAAAGGUACUCCGGGGAUAACAGGCUGAUACCGCCCAAGAGUUCAUAUCGACGGCGGUGUUUGGCACCUCGAUGUCGGCUCAUCAC
This 2515-nucleotide ribosomal RNA is filed under the name human gut metagenome. RNAcentral's name for it is "bacterial LSU rRNA". It matches the Rfam family "Bacterial large subunit ribosomal RNA", at positions 1 to 2543 of the family's 2925-position model. The record is from RNAcentral.